AGUUUUAUUCUAAUGUGGCAAACGGCUGUAGGAGUGAAAUUAAACUUUGCAGCUUAUUUAUUUUUUUUUUAAAUCUUUGUGUGUUUCUGUUCUCAGGUCAGCUCUGCUGCCAAAAGCGAGAAGACACAAACGUUUCCUGUGGAGGAUGACAUGGACAUAACUCGCUCUCACACAGUCUACGCUUCCAGCAGUUCUUCAGCAAAAAUUCUAACUGGCUCUUCUGACCCAUCACCGAUUAACCAUCAGUCCAAAUCCAGUGACCCGAGCUUGUGUACGAGUGAAGGAAGCUGGUCAGGGAAACAAAGCUCCGCAGAGCCUGGCGGAGUCGAUCCUGAGGGGGACAUCAGCAUGGAGAUGACUGAGGUUCAAACGGGACGCAUUGAAGGACUCUCCGACUCACAAGGUCCUUUUCAGUUCCUCAUUCCAUCCCAAGAGGAAGUUUUCCCGCUCAGCAGAAGUCAGGAUAGAGCCGACGCGGCUUCAGGACAGGAGAACAUCAAAGGAUCGUCCAGCCAUCGAGGUGUGGAAACUUCAUUAAAACCUUCCAUAAAGUCCUCACAGAGAUGUCAGAGCAGGGUUGGUUUGGACGAUGGAGAAAAGACUUUUCAGUUUGCCGCAGAUGAUGACUGCAUGGACAUCACACAGAGCUACACUGCAAACAUCAGCAGCAGCGAGUCGCAACAGUUGUUCUCAGACAUAGACUUGAGAGGACAUGAAGAUAAAACUGUGAGGUUUACUCUGACGGAUCUUGCGAUGGAAGAGACCAAGAGUCGCACUGUUUCCUCUGGUUUUCAACAAACAAUCCUCCAAAACUCUGAGGCGUUAUCCUCUAACAAAGAUAAAACCAUGAGGUUUAUUUCCAACGAUCCAGUGAUGGACCUCACAAAAAGUCAUACUGUCAACAGUUCCUCAGGUUUUCAAAAACCAAUCGUCCAAGACACUGAGGCGGUACCCUCUAACAAAGAUAGAACCGUUAGGUUCACUGCCAACGAUGCAAUGAUGGACAUAACAAAGAGUCAUACCGUCAACAUUUCCUCUGGUUAUCAGCCAAUAUGCUUAAAAAACAGUGAGGCGUUACCCUCUAAUGGAGAGAAAACCACAAGGUUCACUAACAAUGAUGCAGCGAUGGAUGUGACUAAGAGUCACACCGUCAACAUUUCCUCAGGUUUUCAAAAAACAAUUGUCCAAGACACAGAGAUGUUACCCUCUAAUAAAGAUAGAACCGUUAGGUUCAGUGCCAACGAUGCAGUGAUGGACAUAACGAAGAGUCAUACCGUCAACAUUUCCUCUGGUUUUCAAUCAACGUUCCUUCAAGAUACUAAGGUGUUGCCCUCUAAUGGAGAGAAAACUGUAAGGUUCACUGCCAACGAUGCAGUGAUGGACAUAACGAAGAGUCAUACCGUCAACAUUUCCUCUGGUUAUCAACCAACAUGCUUAGAAAGCACUGAGGCAUUACCCUCUAAUGGAGAGAAAACCACAAGGUUCACUAACAAUGAUGCAGCAAUGGACGUGACCAAGAGUCACACGGUCAACAUUUCUUCUGGAUUUCAACCAACAUGCCUUAAAAACACUGAGGCGUUCGUCUCUAACGGAGAGAAAACCACAAGGUUCACUACCAAUGAUGCAGCGAUGGAUGUGACCAAGAGUCACACUGUCAACAUUUCUUCUGGAUUUCAACCAACAUGCCUUAAAAACACUGAGGCGUUACCCUCUAACGGAGAGAAAACCACAAGAUUCACUACCAAUGAUGCAGCGAUGGACGUAACCAAGAGUCACACCGUCAACAUUGAUGCAGAUCUAAGGCUCAUUCAGUUACAGAGUGUGGAGUCAUUCCCCACAAACACAGACAAACCCAGAUGUACGAUGUAA
Oryzias javanicus (javanese ricefish) is the source of this 1869-nucleotide long non-coding RNA. The record is from Ensembl. Lineage: Eukaryota; Metazoa; Chordata; Actinopteri; Beloniformes; Adrianichthyidae.